Molecule: ribosomal RNA, 497 nt
Filed under: uncultured bacterium
Lineage: Bacteria
Description: partial 16S ribosomal RNA
Rfam family: Bacterial small subunit ribosomal RNA
Source: RNAcentral
GAUGAACGCUGGCGGCGUGCCUAAUACAUGCAAGUCGAGCGAACAGACGAGGAUCUUGCUCCUCUGACGUUAGCGGCGGACGGGUGAGUAACACGUGGAUAACCUACCUAUAAGACUGGGAUAACUUCGGGAAACCGGAGCUAAUACCGGAUAAUAUAUUGAACCGCAUGGUUCAAUAGUGAAAGACGGUUUUGCUGUCACUUAUAGAUGGAUCCGCGCCGCAUUAGCUAGUUGGUAAGGUAACGGCUUACCAAGGCAACGAUGCGUAGCCGACCUGAGAGGGUGAUCGGCCACACUGGAACUGAGACACGGUCCAGACUCCUACGGGAGGCAGCAGUAGGGAAUCUUCCGCAAUGGGCGAAAGCCUGACGGAGCAACGCCGCGUGAGUGAUGAAGGUCUUCGGAUCGUAAAACUCUGUUAUUAGGGAAGAACAAAUGUGUAAGUAAAUAUGCACGUCUUGACGGUACCUAAUCAGAAAGCCACGGCUAACUACGUG